AUGGCUUAGCUCAGUCUGGUAGAGCAGUAGUUUUGUAAACUAUUGAUCGGGGCUUCGAGUCCCUCAGGCGGCACCA
This 76-nucleotide transfer RNA is filed under the name Mesorhizobium sp. 113-3-3. RNAcentral's name for it is "tRNA-Thr". The stretch from base 5 to 67 matches the Rfam family "tRNA", at positions 6 to 65 of the family's 71-position model. Rfam says of the family: Transfer RNA (tRNA) molecules are approximately 80 nucleotides in length. Their secondary structure includes four short double-helical elements and three loops (D, anti-codon, and T loops). Lineage: Bacteria; Pseudomonadati; Pseudomonadota; Alphaproteobacteria; Hyphomicrobiales; Phyllobacteriaceae. The record is from RNAcentral.